This 382-nucleotide ribosomal RNA is filed under the name uncultured eukaryote. Its description in RNAcentral is "partial 18S ribosomal RNA". It matches the Rfam family "Eukaryotic small subunit ribosomal RNA", at positions 592 to 976 of the family's 1831-position model. The record is from RNAcentral.
UGUAAGCGUAUACCAAAGUUGUUGCAGUUAAAACGCUCGUAGCCGGAAUUUGGCAGUUCCGGAUGUGUGCACGUCGUGUGCGCACUUCGCGGGGAUUGCUUUUGUGGUCUUGCGUAGGAUGAGGCACUUUUAUUAGUGAACGUCCUCACGCAACCACUUUUUACUGUGAGAAAAUCAGAGUGCUCAAAGCAGGCAUUUGCCGUGAAUGUAUUAGCAUGGAAUAAUAGAAUAGGACUUGGUUCUAUUUUGUUGGUUUGUUGGGACUGAGUAAUGAUUAAGAGGGACAGUUGGGGGCAUUUGUAUUUCGGUGCUAGAGGUGAAAUUCUUAGAUUACCGAAAGACAAACUGCCGCGAAAGCGUCUGCCAAGGAUGUUUUCAUUGA